RNAcentral lists this ribosomal RNA (470 nucleotides) under uncultured bacterium. RNAcentral's name for it is "SSU rRNA". It matches the Rfam family "Bacterial small subunit ribosomal RNA", at positions 26 to 518 of the family's 1533-position model. The record is from RNAcentral.
AGAACGAACGCUGGCGGCAUGCCUAACACAUGCAAGUCGAACGCUCUUGGGGCUUCGGUCUCAGGGGAGUGGCGCACGGGUGAGUAGCGCGUGGGAACCUGCCCUGUUGUGGGGGAUAACCGAGGGAAACUUCGGCUAAUACCGCAUAAGCCGGUUGUCUUGAAGGAGAUGGCCGGGAAAGAUUUAUCGCGACAGGAGGGGCCCGCGUCGGAUUAGCUAGUUGGUGGGGUAACGCCCACCAAGGCGGUGAUCCGUAGCUGGUCUGAGAGGAUGAUCAGCCACACUGGGACUGAGACACGGCCCAGACUCCUACGGGAGGCAGCAGUGGGGAAUUUUGCGCAAUGGGGGAAACCCUGACGCAGCAACGCCGCGUGGAGGAUGAAGUCCCUUGGGACGUAAACUCCUUUCGACCCGGACGAUAAUGACGGUACGGGUGGAAGAAGCCCGGCUAACUUCGCGCCAGCAGCCGC